UUUUGAUCGUAAGAAGAACUAAGAAAUUUAGUAACCUCGAUCACCAAUCGAACUGAGUGAUAGCUUAGCUUGUCGACCAAACAAAGAGAAUUAGAGCACCAAUGUUGGGAAGAGAGCAUCAAUGUUGGGAAGCCAAACGAUUUCACAUGAACUGUGAAGACUCAUAAGAAACAUAUUUAAGAUCUGAUUAUUGGUUUAUUCACACAAUCUAUCAUUUGACUAAGUUGAGAUUGAUAUUCAUCUGUAAGCUCUAUUUUUUAAAUUCACUUCUUGUUUUAUGAUAGAAGAAGAAUAAAACAUGAAAAGACAAAAAACAGUAGAAAUGUAGAAUAAAACAGAAGCUGAGUUGAGUUUUGUAUUUGU
Molecule: long non-coding RNA, 363 nt
Filed under: Capsella grandiflora
Lineage: Eukaryota; Viridiplantae; Streptophyta; Magnoliopsida; Brassicales; Brassicaceae
Description: long non-coding RNA (CGRA_LNC000719)
Source: RNAcentral